RNAcentral lists this transfer RNA (71 nucleotides) under Loxodonta africana (African savanna elephant). It matches the Rfam family "tRNA". Rfam says of the family: Transfer RNA (tRNA) molecules are approximately 80 nucleotides in length. The record is from Rfam by way of RNAcentral. Lineage: Eukaryota; Metazoa; Chordata; Mammalia; Proboscidea; Elephantidae.
GCAUUGGUGGCUCAGUGGUAGAAUUCUCAGCUUGCAUGCGGGAGACCUGGAUUCAGUUGCCAGCCAAUGCA